CUAACACAUGCAAGUCGAGCGCGCCCUUCGGGGUGAGCGGCGGACGGGUGAGUAACGCGUGGGAAUAUGCCCUUCUCUACGGAAUAGUCCUGGGAAACUGGGGGUAAUACCGUAUACGCCCUACGGGGGAAAGAUUUAUCGGAGAAGGAUUAGCCCGCGUUGGAUUAGCUAGUUGGUGAGGUAACGGCUCACCAAGGCGACGAUCCAUAGCUGGUUUGAGAGGAUGAUCAGCCACACUGGGACUGAGACACGGCCCAGACUCCUACGGGAGGCAGCAGUGGGGAAUCUUAGACAAUGGGGGAAACCCUGAUCUAGCCAUGCCGCGUGAGUGAUGAAGGCCUUAGGGUUGUAAAGCUCUUUCAGCUGGGAAGAUAAUGACGGUACCAGCAGAAGAAGCCCCGGCUAACUCCGUGCCAGCAGCCGCGGUAAU
This 430-nucleotide ribosomal RNA is filed under the name uncultured bacterium. RNAcentral's name for it is "bacterial SSU rRNA". It matches the Rfam family "Bacterial small subunit ribosomal RNA", at positions 48 to 524 of the family's 1533-position model. The record is from RNAcentral.